RNAcentral lists this non-coding RNA (28 nucleotides) under Bombyx mori (domestic silkworm). RNAcentral also lists the same sequence under 1 other name. Lineage: Eukaryota; Metazoa; Arthropoda; Insecta; Lepidoptera; Bombycidae. The record is from RNAcentral.
UACCGAUUAUGACUAGGGUAUUCAUGAA